RNAcentral lists this ribosomal RNA (253 nucleotides) under uncultured bacterium. RNAcentral's name for it is "partial 16S ribosomal RNA". It matches the Rfam family "Bacterial small subunit ribosomal RNA", at positions 524 to 776 of the family's 1533-position model. The record is from RNAcentral.
UACGGAGGGUGCAAGCGUUAUCCGGAUUCACUGGGUUUAAAGGGUGUGUAGGCGGGUAUUUAAGUCAGGGGUGAAAUCUCCAGGCUCAACCUGGAAACUGCCAUUGAUACUAUUUAUCUUGAAUUCUGUUGAGGUGGGCGGAAUACAUCAUGUAGCGGUGAAAUGCUUAGAUAUGAUGUAGAACACCGAUUGCGAAGGCAGCUCACUAAGCAGCGAUUGACGCUGAGGCACGAAAGCGUGGGGAUCAAACAGG